AGUGAACGCUGGCGGUAGGCCUAACACAUGCAAGUCGAACGGCAGCACAGUAAGAGCUUGCUCUUACGGGUGGCGAGUGGCGGACGGGUGAGGAAUACAUCGGAAUCUACUUUUUCGUGGGGGAUAACGUAGGGAAACUUACGCUAAUACCGCAUACGACCUACGGGUGAAAGCAGGGGAUCUUCGGACCUUGCGCGAUUGAAUGAGCCGAUGUCGGAUUAGCUAGUUGGCGGGGUAAAGGCCCACCAAGGCGACGAUCCGUAGCUGGUCUGAGAGGAUGAUCAGCCACACUGGAACUGAGACACGGUCCAGACUCCUACGGGAGGCAGCAGUGGGGAAUAUUGGACAAUGGGCGCAAGCCUGAUCCAGCCAUACCGCGUGGGUGAAGAAGGCCUUCGGGUUGUAAAGCCUUUUGUUGGGAAAGAAAAGCAGCAGGUUAAUACCCCGCUGUUCUGACGGUACCCAAAGAAUAAGCACCGGCUAACUUCGUG
RNAcentral lists this ribosomal RNA (491 nucleotides) under uncultured bacterium. Its description in RNAcentral is "partial 16S ribosomal RNA". It matches the Rfam family "Bacterial small subunit ribosomal RNA", at positions 29 to 507 of the family's 1533-position model. The record is from RNAcentral.